GAUGAACGCUGGCGGCGUGCCUAAUACAUGCAAGUCGAGCGAACAGACGAGGAGCUUUCUCCUCUGAUGUUAGCGGCGGACGGGCGAGUAACACGUGGAUAACCUACCUAUAAUACUGGGAUGACUUCGGGAAACCGGAGCUACUACCGGAUAACAUGUUCAACCGCAUGGUUCAACAGUGAUAGACACUCUUGCUGUCACUUAUAGCUGGAUCCGCGCCGCAUUAGCUAGUUGGUAAGGUAACGGCUUACCAAGGCAACGAUGCGUAGCCGACCUGAGAGGGUGAUCGGCCACACUGGAACUGAGACACGGUCCAGACUCCUACGGGAGGCAGCAGUAGGGAAUAUUCGGCAAUGGGCGAAAGCCUGACGGAGCAACGCCGCGUGAGUGAAGAAGGUCUUCGGGUCGUAAAGCUCUUUUAUUGGGGAAGAACAAAAGCAUAAUAAACUAUGCCCGUUUUGACGGUACCUAAUGAAAAAGCCACGGCUAACUUCGUG
Molecule: ribosomal RNA, 497 nt
Filed under: uncultured bacterium
Lineage: Bacteria
Description: partial 16S ribosomal RNA
Rfam family: Bacterial small subunit ribosomal RNA
Source: RNAcentral